AACGAACGCUGGCGGCAUGCCUAACACAUGCAAGUCGAACGAGACCUUCGGGUCUAGUGGCGCACGGGUGCGUAACGCGUGGGAACCUGCCCUUAGGUUCGGAAUAACUCCCCGAAAGGGGUGCUAAUACCGGAUAAUUUCUUCGGACCAAAGAUUUAUCGCCUUUGGAUGGGCCCGCGUUGGAUUAGCUAGUUGGUAGGGUAAAAGCCUACCAAGGCGACGAUCCAUAGCUGGUCUGAGAGGAUGAUCAGCCACACUGGGACUGAGACACGGCCCAGACUCCUACGGGAGGAAGCAGUGGGGAAUAUUGGACAAUGGGCGAAAGACUGAUCCAGCAAUGCCGCGUGAGUGAUGAAGGACUUAGGGUUGUAAAGCUCUUUUAACCGGGAUGAUAAUGACAGUACCGGGAGAAUAAGCGCCGGCUAACUCCGUG
RNAcentral lists this ribosomal RNA (433 nucleotides) under uncultured bacterium. RNAcentral's name for it is "partial 16S ribosomal RNA". It matches the Rfam family "Bacterial small subunit ribosomal RNA", at positions 29 to 507 of the family's 1533-position model. The record is from RNAcentral.